CAUACCCCAAAAGCUAGCUAUUGAGGUUGGAGAGGCCAAGUCCAUGUAUACCCCACAUUGAAAUCCCAUACUUUCGAUGUAGGACACAAAUUUUUCUUGCAAUGGAUCAUAACAAAAAAGAAUGAUGUUCAAUCAAAUGCCCACUAUUUAAGGGCAGUGUAGAAAAACGCCUGUAUGAAUUCGUCGUCAAGUUUAGUAUUUGUUCUUUCAUUUACUUAAAGAAUGGUGGG
This 230-nucleotide unclassified non-coding RNA is filed under the name Hevea brasiliensis (rubber tree). The record is from RNAcentral. Lineage: Eukaryota; Viridiplantae; Streptophyta; Magnoliopsida; Malpighiales; Euphorbiaceae.